UUUCUUUAGUAUAAAUACACACUGUGCAGCUUGUGGGUUGGUUGCUGGCUUUGGCACGAAGGAUGGGUAUCAUGGAUUGUAAACUCCUUUUAGGAGUUGUAUUGUGUAUGCUGUUACCUUUGGAUGCGAAGGCGCAAGCGCCACCAGGGACCUUUGUUAAUGAGUGUCGGGACCGAUACUUCUGGACGACGA
Acipenser ruthenus (sterlet) is the source of this 192-nucleotide long non-coding RNA. RefSeq lists it as uncharacterized. The transcript is spliced from 3 exons. Lineage: Eukaryota; Metazoa; Chordata; Actinopteri; Acipenseriformes; Acipenseridae. The record is from RefSeq and is a predicted model, not a curated record.